UCGAACGGUAACAGGGAAGCACCUUGCUGCUUCGCUGACGAGUGGCGGACGGGUGAGUAAUGUCUGGGAAACUGCCUGAUGGUAGGGGGAUAACUACUGGAAACGGUAGCUAAUACCGCAUAACGUCGCAAGACCAAAGAGGGGGACCUUCGGGCCUCUUGCCAUCGGAUGUGCCCAGAUGGGAUUAGCUAGUAGGUGGGGUAACGGCUCACCUAAGCGACGAUCCCUAGCUGGUCUGAGAGGAUGACCAGCCACACUGGAACUGAGACACGGUCCAGACUCCUACGGGAGGCAGCAGUGGGGAAUAUUGCACAAUGGGCGCAAGCCUGAUGCAGCCAUGCCGCGUGUAUGAAGAAGGCCUUCGGGUUGUAAAGUACUUUCAGCGGGGAGGAAGGUGAUGAGGUUAAUAACCUCGGCAAUUGACGUUACCCGCAGAAGAAGCGCCGGCUAACUCCGUGCCAGCAGCCGCGGUAAUACGGAGGGUGCAAGCGUUAAUCGGAAUUACUGGGCGUAAAGCGCACGCAGGCGGUCUGUCAAGUCGGAUGUGAAAUCCCCGGGCUCAACCUGGGAACUGCAUUCGAAACUGGCAGGCUAGAGUCUUGUAGAGGGGGGUAGAAUUCCAGGUGUAGCGGUG
RNAcentral lists this ribosomal RNA (634 nucleotides) under Enterobacterales bacterium. RNAcentral describes it as "bacterial SSU rRNA". It matches the Rfam family "Bacterial small subunit ribosomal RNA", at positions 62 to 683 of the family's 1533-position model. Lineage: Bacteria; Pseudomonadati; Pseudomonadota; Gammaproteobacteria; Enterobacterales. The record is from RNAcentral.